This 216-nucleotide ribosomal RNA is filed under the name uncultured bacterium. RNAcentral describes it as "partial 16S ribosomal RNA". It matches the Rfam family "Bacterial small subunit ribosomal RNA", at positions 1286 to 1500 of the family's 1533-position model. The record is from RNAcentral.
UCUCAGUUCGGAUCGCAGGCUGCAACCCGCCUGCGUGAAGUCGGAAUUGCUAGUAAUCGCGGAUCAGCAUGCCGCGGUGAAUACGUUCCCGGGCCUUGUACACACCGCCCGUCACACCAUGGGAGCCGGUAAUACCCGAAGUCAGUAGUCUAACCUUUUAGGAGGACGCUGCCGAAGGUAGGAUUGGCGACUGGGGUGAAGUCGUAACAAGGUAUC